Molecule: ribosomal RNA, 116 nt
Filed under: Klebsiella pneumoniae subsp. pneumoniae
Lineage: Bacteria; Pseudomonadati; Pseudomonadota; Gammaproteobacteria; Enterobacterales; Enterobacteriaceae
Source: RNAcentral
UCAGGCGGCACUAGCGCGGUGGUCCCACCUGACCCCAUGCCGAACUCAGAAGUGAAACGCCGUAGCGCCGAUGGUAGUGUGGGGUCUCCCCAUGUGAGAGUAGGGAACUGCCAGGC